Long non-coding RNA from Vespa velutina, 3833 nucleotides. RefSeq lists it as uncharacterized. The transcript has 7 exons. The record is from RefSeq and is a predicted model, not a curated record. NCBI's taxonomy places the organism in Eukaryota, Metazoa, Arthropoda, Insecta, Hymenoptera, Vespidae.
AUCAAAAUCGUGACGAUUUUUACUUUCUUCGUUUUUCUUCUUUUUCUUUUCUUUUUUUUUACUUUAUUCGCCUGAAAGAUUAAUAAUGAAUAAAAUGAAAAGAAAGAUAAAAAAUGAAAAAGAAGAAGAAGAAGAAGAUCAGAGAGCAUCGAACAGUCGUGGAAAGAAGAUCACGAUGGGAUGCACCUGCAGGUAUAUUUUAGAUGGUUAGCAGCUCCGAAGGCGACUCCGACGUUCGACGAAGUCGUCCGAAGGUCAUCGAGCUAGAUUCCUCUAUAAAACCGACGCAACCACGUCCCAGCAGUUAUUCGCAAGAAAGGAAGAGCGACGUACGGUUAGUCGAUUCUGUGUACAAAUACUGAUCUCUAAAAACGUUACUAUUAACGAAACAUUAAUUCUCUAAAGUUAUUACAAAUGUCGUUUUAGUGUUCGAUAUUUGAAAUACCGAAUUCUUUUUUUUUUUUUUUUAUAUACCUUUCCGUCGGAUAGUGAUAAGUGAUAAGAUAAUUCCGGCGAUUUUCUCGAGGAAGAAAAGAAAACUUUUUCGAAGUUUUUCACUGCUACGCACUAUCUCUUAUACUAAAAAGAAAGAAGAAAAAAUAAAAGAAAAGAAAGAUAGAAAGAAAGAAAAAAGAAAAGGAAAAGAAAAACAAGAACAAAGGAGAAAAAUCUCAAAGAAGAUGUAUACCAAUCCGUUCAAUCGUAAACACAGUACGAUCAGACAAAUGUUGGAUCGUCUUUUGGAUCCAACGAGGAAGCCAAUCAGAAGAUCAGAAAGUGUAUCGAGUUCUGGAAGUAGUACGAGUAAAAGUAGCGAUCGAUCUUGGAAUGAGUCUAAUCAUUCUCACAGAGGGAUUCUACUAUGGGGUAGAAAGUGAACGGAAAUUAAUCGAGAUGAGAGAUGAUCGUUUUGAACGUUUACAAUCAAUAUUAUCAUUCCUCUCACUCUCUCUCUCUCUCUCUCUCUCUCUCUCUCUCUUUCUCUCUCCACUUUCUCUAUAUCUCUUUUUUUUUCUUAUCAACUUUGCUCACAAGGAGAGUUUUUUGAAUGGAGGCCAAAGCAGAAUAACUUUCUAUCAUGCUGUGGGAAGAAGAUCAAAAAAGGAAGUAUAACUUCCUUUUUAACGUUUCUUUUUUUAACUGGCAAUCAUCUUGGAAAUGAACGAAAGUGAACGAGCAAAUCGAUUGGAAGAAGAAAAAGAAAAAAAAAAAAAUAAACGAAAAAAGAACACAAGUCUGUUAUUUUCUUCUGCUUGGAUUCUAAAGAAUGGCUUCGCUAUUAAGAAGAAUUAGAAGAGGAAGAAGAAGAAGAAGAAGAAGAAGAAGAAGAAGAAGAAGAAGAAGAAAACAACAAGAAAAAGACAAGGACGAAGAUGCUUAGGAGCAAUGAAGAAUCGAGAAAUCUAAUUGGAUCAAUCGAUUUUUUUUUCUUUUUUUUCUUUCUUUUUUUUCUUUCUUUUUUUUCAUCCGUUCUUCUCAUUAUUUUUUUUUUUUAUUUUUUUUUUUUACAAUAGUUAGGAAAUAUUGUUCACACUUUAAUCACGCCAUAUAUUCGUGCUUAUUUAUGCUAUUAUUCGUUAAGCCUCAUUAUUAUUAUUCUUCGUGCCAUAUUAUAAUAAAUUAUCUCAUCUUAGAAUCUAAGAGAGAUAAUACAUGUUAUUACGAUGAUUAUUAUAUCAUUAAUUAAAUCUGCGAAGAAUUUAGAAGAAUUAAGUUUACCUAGUCAAGAGGCAGUAUUAGUUGUCAAUCUUUCUUCACUCUUUUCAUUCAACAAUGUGUUUUUUUGUUCUCUUUUCUUUUCAUUCAUUAUAUUCUUUUUAUUUAUUGAUAUAUAUAUAUAUAUAUAUAUGUAUAUAUAUGUAUAUAUAUGUAUAUCAUUUACUUUUGUACUUUAUUAAUACAAACAGAGAUGUGCAAUUAAUUGGAAAACCAAGAAUUAAAAAAAAAGCAAACAAAACAAAGAUAUAGACUUCCUUUUCUUUGAUCCUAUCCUUUUAUUAUAAAAAGAAGGUGUAUGGAUGUGCAUAUAUUAUAUUAUAUUAUAUAUAUAUAUAUAUAAAAAGCAGUUCAUUGACACUUCUCAACGCAAAUAAAUCAAUUCAUUUUUAUUUUUCUUUUUUCUCUUUUUAUUUUUAUUCUUUUUCUCAUUUUAAUCUUAACCAAUAAUGAAUGUGUACUUCCUUUGGAAAGAUAAGACUGCAUAAAAUACGAGGGCAUAUAUAAUCUACCAUUGAGGCGACAUAUCUAUAUAUGCGUGUUUGUAUUUAAAAGAAGGACUUUCGUAUCAUACGCUAGUUGUCUCGAAGGAAGAAAACGACAACGACGACGACGACGACGAUGAAGACGACGACGACGACGACGAUGACGACGACAAAAUCGAUAGGGUCGAGUGCUCGUAAUUAGUUUAACAUAUAUCUUUGAUAAACAGAUACCUACAUAUGUAUUUUGUUUACUUUUGUGACAUGUCUCAAACGAGACAUAGGCUGUCACUAAAAUAAAUGACGAUAAGAAAUUUGAUAAUCAACUUUUUUCACAUAUGUAUUGCAGAAAAGUUUACGCAUCGACGGUGCCAUGAAAACGAUCGAAGCGUGUAUAUGCAGUUGAAUAGUUUCUGGAAAAAUACAGGGACCCGAUUUAAUGCUCGACCUGUUUAGGGUGAAAAAAUUAUAUUUAUAUUUAUAUAUACAUAAUUGAUCAAACUUUCGGCUGCCUCCUGAUACAUCAUUGACAUUCUUGAGGUUGUGAUAUCUGGUCGAUGUCCUUGAUGCAUACAAGCGCAAUAAAGUGGAUGUAAUAUAAUACACAUAGGACUUUUUCUAACUCUAAGAGAAAUCGUGACAUCUGAAUUAAGUUAACGAGUGUACGAGGUAAUGUUAUUUUAAGGUAAUCCAAAACUUUUCUUAAAUGAAAAGCAUGACGUAAUGGUGAAAAUUGUUGAGGAUUAUAACAUUGAGCCGAACAAAUGUCAUUUGCACCGAAGAAAAUAGUGAUCAACUGCAACAAAAUUUUUUUUUUUUAAGUAGUACCACUCAAGUAUUAAAUUAAUUUUCAUUCAUUUUAAUGUCAAUUAAUAAUUUAAUUUUUAAUGGAUUUAAUUAACACCUUCCAAUGUUUGGUAAAAUUAAUCCUAGGAUCAUUUCUUAUCCUUUGCACGAGGAUUCUUGCUUGUUUUAUGGCAUCUUCGGUAGCUGCUACAGGAAAAGCGAUAUUUAAUCUUGCUUUUGAUGAAAUAAAUUCGCCUGUACCGGUCGAGUAGCCAGUUAAAUUUGGAUUGAAUACCUGUUGUUAAUUUAGAAAAAAAAAAAAAAAGAAACAAUUAUAUUCUCUUUACCCUGCUACAAUGAAAAUACAAUGGACUUAUGUGUUAUAAAAAAAAAAAAAAAAAAAAAAAAAAAAAAAAAAGAGAGAGAGCAAGAGAAAAAAAGAAAAGGAAAACAAACAAACAAAUAAAUAAAUAUUUACUGUCAAAAAUUUUCGCCAAUUAUCUUGGCCGCCAAUGCACCAGCUGACUCCACGUGCUUCAAUGAAAGUUCCAAUAGCGAAUUCUUCCAAAGCACCACUACCAGCUACAAGAGAAUCACCAAGACCACCGAUCACGUCAAUGUCACCUGGUCUUAAUCUAUGAACACUUUCCGCAAACCUGCCGAAACGAAUGUUACAAGGAAAUGGUACUGCGUCUGGUAUGAUUGGCUGCCUUCGUACACCAUCGAAAAUCAUUGGAUAAACUAUACCAUUGGUAUUGAGAUCUACCUGGAAUAAGAGAAAAGAGGAGAAGAAGAAUAAUCUUAAAAAAAAAAAAAAAAGAAAGAAAGAAAGAAAGAUGAGAGAAAAUU